Molecule: non-coding RNA, 278 nt
Organism: Arachis ipaensis
Lineage: Eukaryota; Viridiplantae; Streptophyta; Magnoliopsida; Fabales; Fabaceae
Source: RefSeq, a predicted model, not a curated record
GAAUUUGUGCAUGGUGAAAAUGAUUUGGUUUCGUAGUCAUAGUAGAGGUGCAGGUUCUUCUUGCUUGAAUCCCAGUUUUGGCUCAUUCUUCUUCUAAAGAAAAAUUGGAUGUACAUAACUUGUUUGUGAAAAUGACACAGAAGAGUGCACUCUUGAUCCCCUUAUAGUGAUUGUUGAUUGUGACAUUACGGCACUAUACGUUUACUUUCUCAUAGUUUUGUGUUGGAGGAAACAAGCUAUGGUUGUUUUCUUGCUAAUUGGUACAAUAGGGUCACCAA